UACGUAGGGUGCGAGCGUUAAUCGGAAUUACUGGGCGUAAAGCGUGCGUAGGCGGUUCGUUAUGUCUGCUGUGAAAGCCCCGGGCUUAACCUGGGAAUGGCAGUGGAAACUGGCGGGCUUGAGUGUGGCAGAGGGGGGUGGAAUUCCGCGUGUAGCAGUGAAAUGCGUAGAGAUGUGGAGGAACACCGAUGGCGAAGGCAGCCCCCUGGGUCAAGAUUGACGCUCAUGCACGAAAGCGUGGGGAGCAAACAGG
RNAcentral lists this ribosomal RNA (253 nucleotides) under uncultured bacterium. Its description in RNAcentral is "partial 16S ribosomal RNA". It matches the Rfam family "Bacterial small subunit ribosomal RNA", at positions 524 to 776 of the family's 1533-position model. The record is from RNAcentral.